GACGAACGCUGGCGGCGUGCUUAACACAUGCAAGUCGAACGGAAAGGCCCUGCUUUUGUGGGGUGCUCGAGUGGCGAACGGGUGAGUAACACGUGAGUAACCUGCCCUUGACUGUGGGAUAACUUCAGGAAACUGGGGCUAAUACCGGAUAGGAGCUCCUGCUGCAUGGUGGGGGUUGGAAAGUUUCGGCGGUGGGGGAUGGACUCGCGGCUUAUCAGCUUGUUGGUGGGGUAGUGGCUUACCAAGGCUUUGACGGGUAGCCGGCCUGAGAGGGUGACCGGCCACAUUGGGACUGAGAUACGGCCCAGACGCCUACGGGAGGCAGCAGUGGGGAAUAUUGCACAAUGGGCGGAAGCCUGAUGCAGCAACGCCGCGUGCGGGAUGACGGCCUUCGGGUUGUAAACCGCUUUCGCCUGUGACGAAGCGUGAGUGACGGUAAUGGGUAAAGAAGCACCGGCUAACUACGUG
RNAcentral lists this ribosomal RNA (468 nucleotides) under uncultured bacterium. Its description in RNAcentral is "partial 16S ribosomal RNA". It matches the Rfam family "Bacterial small subunit ribosomal RNA", at positions 28 to 507 of the family's 1533-position model. The record is from RNAcentral.